AGAUCAGGGCAUGUACAUUUUGUAGACUUAUUCCCAGAUGAGCCAUAACAAAUAGCUAAAGCAUACUUUCCACUGGUGGCAAAUUGCUCCUGGGAAACAUACUGAUUCACUUGUGGAUUAAAAACACAGCAGUUAGAAUCACUUUCAUAUAGGCUAACUUCACAGCUCUUGAUAGUGAAGAGAAAUUUUUUUUUUUUUUUUAGCUUUCAAAAGAUUCAUAGAUGUCUCCCUAUUUCUUUGAACUGUCAUUAUGUUUAAAUGGGGUGAGAAAACUACCAAAAAUGUUUAAAUCAUGCGUUCCUGAUGCAAACAUCAGUAGUCUCUUGUCUUUUACUAACUACAUUUAAACAUACCAGAGAUGAAAUUGUUGGACUAUGAGAUUACAAUCCCUUUUGACGGGUUAAUAAUCUUGCUUAUUAAUAGAAACAAUUCAGACCAGAAUUCUACCUUGCAAUUUUGCUAUGGGAAGUGUAGGCAAGAUUUCACCAAGAACAAAACAAUCUCGCAAACCAAUUUGAAUGAUCUGAGAGCUGUGUUUGCUUAAUGUACAGUUUAGUAGUGGUAUCACGCUUUGGCUCUGUUGUCCUUUCUUUGAACUCAAGGGUAGGCUUGGGGGAUGUUAUUGGAACCACAUGCUUUCAUUCAGGUUGACGGUUUUCUUCAGAAGACAUAGUAGGGUCUUCAUGAUUUGUCUCAGGUUGCAAGUCAGCUGUCCAAUGAUGAAGAAUCAUCUAUAUGUUUCAGUGGGUUUAGGCUUAAAAAACACUCUCAAGAUAUUAAUUUGCCAUUGUUUUAGGUAUAAAAGUGAAAUAUUCCAAAACAUGAUAUGUUAAAGUUUACAGUGGAAAUAUUUUCAAAUACAACUAGGUGGUUGAAUUUUCAUAGUAUAAUGCUUUUUCUCAUUUUUAUCAUGGAAAAGCACAAAUAUUUUAAAUAUUUUUGUGUUUGUUUUUACCAAGGAAAAACCACUCGAAAAGCAAGAGGGCAGUUUGAUGUCUAAAAUGGAAAGGGUAAAUUGCUGCCCUAUCACAUAAGUGGCUUUUGUAGGUUGGAAGUGAAAAAUAUUUUUAAUUUAAAAGUGAAUUUGGAGAUCUGAGCAUGCUCACUGUACAUCACUUUAAAAUUAUUAAAGUAGUUUGAUUUAAUAGAGUGAAUCUUCUCAGGCUGAGGAGUACUUCACUUUGCACUGCAAAAGCUCAGAUGUUAGAACCCGAUCACUUCCCAGAUGAAGAGCUUAUAAAAAAAUGUGAAGUACUCUAAUAAUUUUAAAUUACUCUAUAUUGCACAUUUUCAGGUCUCUGAUCACCUCCAAAUUCAAGUGCUUAUAAAACUGCUCCCAUAAUUUUAAAUUGCUAUGUGCACAGUGAUUUAAAAUUGUGAGAGUGCUUCAAAGUUUUUUAAUAAGUGCUUUAAUUUAGAAGUGAGUUGAGCAAUACUCCAGUAUAACUUCAAGAAUUUAUUAAACCGAUAUAAAAAUUUAUCCUCUGGAAAGAAAAUUACAUUACGUAUAAAAGGGUGAGGCUCCAAAUGAAUAUAUAUGAGGAUGAAAGUACCAAAUGCUCAGGAACAAUCAGUAAAUGAAAUGAGAUCAUGGGGUCGUAGGUGGGGGGUUUGUUUGGUUAAUUUUGUUCACUGCUUGCCUGAGGCUAGCGUUCUUGAAAAUCUAACAGAAAGGGAAGGAAGGAAGAGAGAGCCUGGUGGGAGAGUUUAUCCCUAAGACAUCUUUCCCCACUUGUCAGUAAGGUAGCUCCUGGACCCGCCUGACUCCUGAAUUUCUCAUUUUUCAGAGGUAAACAUGGCACAUUUUAAAUUGUACUCAGGGAUGAGGGAAAUGGUUUUCAUUAAAAACAGAAUUCCUUUCAUAAACCAAUAGAUCUAGUCACCCUAGGAAAAGCAUGUAGAUUUGGUUUUCUGACCACGAUACCCCAUUAUUAUUACAAUGCAUGAGGUGAUUUGACCUUAAACGGGCUACCAUCCUACAUGGAUCUAGUCUUACACUACCUGCUUGGGGAAUAAAAUAUCUUGAGUUGUGCUAGCUGCGACCAGCUUUUCCAUGGCUUCUCCGGCUUAUUUUCCAUGCUGUUCAGGUAAACAUGGUGGUCCCCUUUGACUGAGUCACCGAUUUUGUCUGACUGCACCAGCUGAUGUGUCUGAAAUAUCAAACCGUUUGACAGGGACAUGAGGCCUCUCAUGUACUGAACUAGAAUUUUAUAAUGUCUUUGAUUAAGAACAUGAACUUGAAACACAGGAACCAUAAGGAUGUUCUUUUGUCCAGUCGUGAAAAGAUGGGGAUUUAUAAUGUAUGGUGAUUCUUUGCACAUUUUGUGAAACCCCCAUAGCCUUCCUUACAGGGAAAAAGGCAUUUACAGUUACUAAGUUGAAGAUGAAAUAAAAGUCAAUUGACUGCAUGUUUCAGCAGUUCCUACCUCAGAAUGGAAAAUUACAUACAUCAUUGGGUUCUAAAGUGUAAUAAAUGGGUGGAUGUUAGUUCUUGUUUCUCACUUUGCUAUAAAUAUUACUGUGCCUCAAAAUAUUUGAAGUAAUUCUCAUCUUCAUUUUUGCUGUAUGUAAAUAUUCUUGAAAAUGACUCUUAUCUUCCUAUAUUUUUUUUAAAUAUAGGAGAUUAGUCUCUGUCUAUAACACAGGGAAACAAGACUUUCUGAAAUAUCCCGGAUACAUAUAUAAAGGACAGAAAGGUUGUAUGUGAGACCUUGAAAAGAAUGUGAUUUUUUUAUGACAAUUUAUCAUUUAUCCUGGAUCAACAUUUUCUAGCACUCUUCUAGCUUUGCUAAAGCAAAUUGUGUUUUAUGUCCCCAGCAGAAUACUCGAUAACUGGUCUGGCGAUGAUGAGGCAUAAUAGGAGUUAUCUGGUCCCAGGAAAGUCAUUGGUUUGCGUUCACUGCCAGAGUCUGGUUAUCAUUGCAGGGCAGGAUUAUCUCAUUGUUUUCUGCUGCCAUGAUUUUGUUUUGACUUCUCAAAUCUCCACAGAACACUCAUUUAGAAAACCCUCCACAGUGGUUUGUUCUUACUGGGGAAACGAAGGCAGUGGGGAGGGAAGGACAGAAGGAUUUUCUUUCUUUUUCUGAGUCCGUCCUGGGCAGAGAGUAAGAUGCAGUUUUUUCUUAGCGUUGUCAGUGCAAGCCUAGCCCUUUCACUGCCCAGUUUAUUACUCCUAUGCAUCGCCUUAAGAUAUUGCUCCAAAGAUCAAUACCCUGAUUUCCUUUCCAUCUGCCUAGACUAAGAUAAUUAGGCUCUUUACUUCAUUUUGUAUGUAAUGAAGGCGGCAACUCGUGAUAGUAGAGGAAAAAAGCUAUCUCCCUAUGGUAAAUGUAUUGACAUUUACAGAUACCAGCGGAGCACAACAUGAGGAGAGUAAUGAGAAAUUUCACUGCUUUCCCCUCUUUCUCUGUUUCCUGGCUAGAUCCCACAGCGAAUCACUAGCUGCAAAGAGAAGGGACGGCUUAGGGACCGACAAUUGAGAGCAUUUACAAUUAGCUGCAUUGAUUAACCUUUACAAAUGCUGUUACUUUAUGAGGUGUUUUUCUCAGCCCUGGUUGAACAGUAUGCGUUAUUGAUUCAACAUACUCCUUUACGAAAGCCCUGAUUUGUCCGUGACUCCACCAGUCAUAAUGCCUGCCUUGGUAGUCGUUUCUGCAUGUUCUCGGGAAAACUUGACACGGAAGACUGAUUGGCAUUAUGUAAAUGGGGUCCACAUCUUCCUUUAGGAAGGGUGUACAGCCGGCAGAAACCAGGGCGUAGACCUGCCUCCCUUCAUCCCCAUCGCCAGGCGCAGACACAAAGGAUGCCAGCCUCGCGCCAGCCGCUUACUGCUGCCCAAUUCACAGCAUCACUCCUAAUAAGCGGCCUGCAGGAGGAAAAGAGCCUCAGACACUCCUCCAUCUCCUCUGUAUUCCCUGGUUUUUAUUUAGGUUUCCUGAAAUAAUUUGGAGUGUGUGUGCAUGCGUGUGUGUAUGUGUGAAAGAGAGAGAGAGGGAGGGAGAGAGAGAGUUUGUGUAAGGGAAAGGGGUGGUGGGAAAUUGUCCAAAAAAUUGUUUUUAGCUUAAUUUUCUUCGAAGAUUGUAGACCGACUUUGAUUGCCGCUUUGGCUGGUGAUUCCAAAAUCUAUGGUGGAAGGCAUUUUCCUUUCAUCAGUUUGAUUCAGAGAAGCUCAGUGCUUAGAAAUAAUAAAUAUCACCUAGAAAUGGCUGCCUUCCACCCCUCCUGCCCCAUAGAACUAUAUGAAUAUAAAUUGAAUACUAUUUUCUUUUUCUUCCUCUCUUGCUUCCCUCUCUCCCCAUUUCUUCCUUUGAGCCUUCCCUUAUUCUUCAUUUCAAGGUGUACAUUAGUAUCAUCUGAAAGAUAAAAGGACUAAAAGCUUGAAAUACUACAGAGUAAAUCCAUCAGCUGUUCUGUCAGGAUUCCUAAAAUGUAUUCUGCACCCAAGACCAGUUAUAUGAUAUGCAGUGCAAAAUAAAGAUGCAGGGCCCCUUGUUCAUAAAUUAUUAAAAAUUUCUAAACAGUAACAGCAGAGUGUUAAACCCAGCUCUGUUCCUCUAAGAAUGAGGCUUGUGUGAUUGCACAGAUCACACACCCAGGAAGUAGGCCCUGCCAUCAUCUUUGCCAACAGUUAUUUCUGAAAAGAUAGUAGGAGACAGGGGCCUGGGUGGGGGGAAGGUAGUAUUUGUUUUCUUUCCCAACUCGAGUUUAAACUUCUCUAUUGUGAGACUCAUUUUUUCUGGAUCAUGCCAAAUUGCAUAUGCUCCUUUAUGACUUGAAAUGCCACUUAGUUGGGUUUGAACUGAGAGCACCGCCUUUAUGCCCAUCUUCUGCAUAGCAGAUUCCAGCGACUUGAAGCACUUUUUCCAUGCCAGAAUUCUGAGACUGGAGUAUUUGUCACUUUGCGCUUCCAGGAACGGCUGAAAAAAGUUUAUUUUGCUUUAUGUGAUUAAACUGAAUGUUUGUCUUGAUGCAAAUGCAUAUACAUGUGCAUUUAUUCUAAUAUACAUAUCCAAACACAUGGGAUUUUUUUUUCCCGUACAUACAUGUGCAUAACAGAAUUGAGUUUAUGGUUUUCCAAGACACAGCUGAACAAUGAUGGAAGACAGCCAUUUUUUUUUUUAAUGAAGAGUUGAUGCAUUUUUAAAGGAAAAAAAUCAGGAAGCUGCUCUAACAGACUCUGCAGCAUUCACAGCAUGACAAACAAAUUAGAAAACAGCAGAUGCAGCACAAAUUAAGAUGUAUUUAGCACAGCAGCCCAUCAGAUGUGUGAACGUCUUUUGUAACUCAGCUUUGCAAGGUUGAUGUAUUGCACUUUAGACAGCUGAUAAUGAACCCUCCUAGCAAUUAGAAGUGGAAAUACUGAGGAGUCAAAAUUGUGCUGUUCCCAGUGGGC
RNAcentral lists this long non-coding RNA (5392 nucleotides) under Sus scrofa (pig). Its description in RNAcentral is "lncRNA (ENSSSCG00035002572.1)". Lineage: Eukaryota; Metazoa; Chordata; Mammalia; Artiodactyla; Suidae. The record is from RNAcentral.